AGAAGGAAGACUCUUCACUAGAGAAUGAGUCAUUCUUUUGCACAUUUUUCAAGGCUAGCCUGUGAAACCAUUAUUUAAGUUAUAAGCAUUCUGGAAACUCCUGCUGACUGAAGAUUUCAUCUUUACUGUUCAUGAUACCAUACAGGAAUUAGAACAGGACAGCUAGAUCAGGCUGCUAAGAGCCCCAUCCAGCCUGACCUUGAAUGUCUCCAGGGUCAGGGCACUGAUGGUCUUCUGUAUGAAAUUACUGUUCCUGCAUGUUGAAAACUGACGUGGGUGAUCACGUAAUUGACUAGGAAACAAAACUUGUUUAACAAAGAAUCAUAGAAUCCUUAGAGUUGGAAGGGACCUCUAAAGGCCAUCUAGUCCAACUCCCCUGCAAUGAACGGGGACAUGCACAACUAGACCUUGUUGCCCAGGGCCUGAUCCAGCCUCGCUUUGAAAGUCUCCAGAGAUGGGGCAUCGACCACAUCUCUGGGAAACCUGUUCUGGUGCCUCACCACCCUCACUGUAAAAUACUUUUUCCUUAUAUCCAAUCUAAAUCUACCCUCUUUAAGCUUGAAGCCAUUUCUCCUUCUUCUAUCACCACAGAUUCUGCUAGAGUCUGUCCCUUUCUUUACUGUAGCUCCCCUUGAGAUACUGAAAGGCCACUAUCAGAUUGUCAGCCAUGUAUUUCUAGUCAAUGGAAAACUCUGGGAACGAUUAGUUUGGUUAGUACCUGUUAUUAGGCGUCAGUAAUGCUGUGGUUCUCUAUUAUAUCAAGGAUUUGUUUUCCCUUUCAGGUGCUCAAAGCCCCAAUAUCACAAUGGCCCAUACAGCACCUAGUAACGUGGCAUGAGGAUUUGAAAGGGAGUGACUGUAUCCUGACCACUAAAGGAAAAGGAAAGAAGAAAAGAGAAUAUUCUGAGACCUUCAAAAACAAUGUUAUCUCAAACUGAAAUUCACAGGGAGGAACUAUAGUUUAAGGACUAGAUCCAUGAAAAUAACAAUGAAGGAAGCAGAGGCCAUAUAAAUGUUAUCACACUGUCUGACUCAGGAUAAUUCUUCACGUUUGCCAUUGACUUAGCAGGGAUGACAACAGAAGGCAAUGUCCAGCAUCUUCUAUUAGACCCCUUGGGGCAGAAGCUGAGAGGAACAGCAAGAUUAAAUCCCAGAAGAGGCUUUAGUUGGGAAAAUAUACCAAGAGUCAAGAGAGAGCAGUGAAGUCCUUGGUUCAUAUAUAGGUAUGGUUUAAUUAGAUGAUUUUAAUCUUGUUGACUGCUCUCCUUACUUUCCUCUGCAUCCAUCAAUCUCCCACAGUUGAAAACUUAGGUUAGAUUGCUCAUGGCACUAUUUGACACAAUUCAAGUCUAAGUGUAAUAUCUCUGCUUUCUCCUUUCCAUUAGACAGUUCAAAGCCUUGAAAAUGUACUUAAUAAAAGUUGAGUGCCUGUAUAUAUGUGCGUAUAA
Molecule: long non-coding RNA, 1448 nt
Filed under: Numida meleagris (helmeted guineafowl)
Lineage: Eukaryota; Metazoa; Chordata; Aves; Galliformes; Numididae
Description: lncRNA (ENSNMEG00000010719.1)
Source: RNAcentral